Long non-coding RNA from Anguilla anguilla (European eel), 554 nucleotides. RefSeq lists it as uncharacterized. Lineage: Eukaryota; Metazoa; Chordata; Actinopteri; Anguilliformes; Anguillidae. The transcript is spliced from 2 exons. The record is from RefSeq and is a predicted model, not a curated record.
AGGACUGAUCACUGCACAUCUACAUAAGCACAACUGUGAAUCCGUCACAAAAAUAGAAACUGCUCUUGUUUUUAAGGAGUCAGGUAACAAAAAAAAACACUGAUGGUUAUUUUCACAUGGUAAGCGACAGAAAUAGGGAGGUCAUGACCUCACAGUGUCGCAUUUCAUGUUUGUUCAUAAGACCUCUCCCGCAAGACCUAAAAUGCUUCAUAGCAUGUGUAUCAAGGUGCCAGUGUCUUUAGGACCAUCGAAGAGCUGGUUAGCUGGCUCUAGCACUCCACAGAGUGGCAGGGAUGUUGACGUGUUUCCUGACAUCUUCAGAAGACCCACAGACAAGCCCAUGGGUAUUUUCCGGCUCAGCUUGUUUCGGGUGUGGUCUACAAGCAGAGGACCCCCAGGGAGGCCAUGGUUCCUGUCUUGCUUUGGCUGUUAAAUAAUACACUGCAAAAGACAGAACUGGAAAUGAAAUGUAAUCUGGCGUCAAGGCUUUUACACAGUGCAAUGGAAGGGGCGUGCUUUGGACGUGAUAGCUGAGCCAUAAAAAUGUACAAGGA